CUACGGGGGGCUGCAGUGAGGAAUUUUGCGCAAUGGGGGCAACCCUGACGCAGCAACGCCGCGUGAGUGAAGAAGGCCUUUGGGUCGUAAAGCUCUGUCGACAGGGAAGAAGUUACGUAAGGUGAAUAGUCUUAUGUAUUGACGGUACCUGUGGAGGAAGCAUCGGCUAACUCCGUGGCCAGCAGCCGCGGUAAUACGGGGGAUGCAAGCGUUAUUCGGAAUCAUUGGGCGUAAAGGGCACGCAGGCGGCCUUGCCAGUCAGAUGUGAAAGCCCGGGGCUCAACCCCGGACGUGCAUUUGAAACAGCAGGGCUUGAGUACGGUAGAGGAAAGCGGAAUUCCUGGUGUAGAGGUGAAAUUCGUAGAUAUCAGGAGGAACACCGGUGGCGAAGGCGGCUUUCUGGACCGAAACUGACGCUGAGGUGCGAAGGCGUGGGUAGCGAACAGGAUUAGAUACCCGUGUAGUC
RNAcentral lists this ribosomal RNA (466 nucleotides) under uncultured bacterium. Its description in RNAcentral is "partial 16S ribosomal RNA". It matches the Rfam family "Bacterial small subunit ribosomal RNA", at positions 339 to 795 of the family's 1533-position model. The record is from RNAcentral.